ACAGCAGUAGCCACGGUAAUACGUAGGUCCCGAGCGUUGUCCGGAUUUAUUGGGCGUAAAGCGAGCGCAGGCGGUUAGAUAAGUCUGAAGUUAAAGGCUGUGGCUUAACCAUAGUACGCUUUGGAAACUGUUUAACUUGAGUGCAAGAGGGGAGAGUGGAAUUCCAUGUGUAGCGGUGAAAUGCGUAGAUAUAUGGAGGAACACCGGUGGCGAAAGCGGCUCUCUGGCUUGUAACUGACGCUGAGGCUCGAAAGCGUGGGGAGCAAACAGGAUUAGAUACCCGAGUAGUCCCUGUCUCUUAUACA
This 305-nucleotide ribosomal RNA is filed under the name uncultured bacterium. RNAcentral describes it as "partial 16S ribosomal RNA". It matches the Rfam family "Bacterial small subunit ribosomal RNA", at positions 505 to 808 of the family's 1533-position model. The record is from RNAcentral.